GAUCAUUACUGAUUUGCUUAAUUGCACCACAUGUGUUUUUCUUUGAAACAAACUUGCUUUGGCGGUGGGCCCAGCCUGCCGCCAGAGGUCUAAACUUACAACCAAUUUUUUAUCAACUUGUCACACCAGAUUAUUACUUAAUAGUCAAAACUUUCAACAACGGAUCUCUUGGUUCUCGCAUCGAUGAAGAACGCAGCGAAAUGCGAUACGUAAUAUGAAUUGCAGAUAUUCGUGAAUCAUCGAAUCUUUGAACGCACAUUGCGCCCUCUGGUAUUCCGGAGGGCAUGCCUGUUUGAGCGUCGUUUCUCCCUCAAACCGCUGGGUUUGGUGUUGAGCAAUACGACUUGGGUUUGCUUGAAAGACGGUAGUGGUAAGGCGGGAUCGCUUUGACAAUGGCUUAGGUCUAACCAAAAACAUUGCUUGCGGCGGUAACGUCUACCACGUAUAUCUUCAAACUUGACCUCAAAUCAGG
This 472-nucleotide unclassified non-coding RNA is filed under the name Candida albicans. RNAcentral's name for it is "sequence contains 18S rRNA gene, ITS1, 5.8S rRNA gene, ITS2, 28S rRNA gene". The stretch from base 149 to 302 matches the Rfam family "5.8S ribosomal RNA". Lineage: Eukaryota; Fungi; Ascomycota; Pichiomycetes; Serinales; Debaryomycetaceae. The record is from RNAcentral.